AACGAACGCUGGCGGCAUACCCAACACAUGCAAGUCGAACGAGAUCUUCGGGUCUAGUGGCGCACGGGUGCGUAACGCGUGGGAAUCUGCCCUUUGGUUCGGAAUAACAGUUGGAAACGACUGCUAAUACCGGAUGAUGACGAAAGUCCAAAGAUUUAUCGCCAGAGGAUGAGCCCGCGUAGGAUUAGCUAGUUGGUGUGGUAAAGGCGCACCAAGGCGACGAGCCUUAGCUGGUCUGAGAGGAUGAUCAGCCACACUGGGACUGAGACACGGCCCAGACUCCUACGGGAGGCAGCAGUGGGGAAUAUUGGACAAUGGGCGAAAGCCUGAUCCAGCAAUGCCGCGUGAGUGAUGAAGGCCUUAGGGUUGUAAAGCUCUUUUACCCGGGAUGAUAAUGACAGUACCGGGAGAAUAAGCUCCGGCUAACUCCGUGCCAGCCGCCGCAGUAA
RNAcentral lists this ribosomal RNA (449 nucleotides) under uncultured bacterium. Its description in RNAcentral is "partial 16S ribosomal RNA". It matches the Rfam family "Bacterial small subunit ribosomal RNA", at positions 29 to 523 of the family's 1533-position model. The record is from RNAcentral.